RNAcentral lists this ribosomal RNA (333 nucleotides) under Triticum aestivum (bread wheat). Its description in RNAcentral is "partial small subunit ribosomal RNA". Lineage: Eukaryota; Viridiplantae; Streptophyta; Magnoliopsida; Poales; Poaceae. The record is from RNAcentral.
AUGUUUAGUGAGGUUACUAGUUGUCUUUGGAGAUAUCUACGAAAUCCAUUAAGAUUGGUUUCACUGUCUAAACAAAAUAUGCUCAAGAUAGAUUUUGUUGGAGGAUCUCAAAGAUUGACAUAUUUGGGCUUAUAUGGAUCAAGGACACUUGGGAGAACAAUUCAAGUUAUGGUUUCAAGAAAAAAUAAUCGUGACCUCAUGUGUUGUGUUUUAGUUGACCAUGUCUUGAAGCAGGCAACUAGAGUGAAUACUUCAUUGUGCCUCUCAAGAGAUUCUGAUGGAGCAUUUAGAAGAACAAGUGGUGACCAAUAUGAUAUUCAUGGUGAGACUUGA